This 469-nucleotide ribosomal RNA is filed under the name uncultured bacterium. Its description in RNAcentral is "partial 16S ribosomal RNA". It matches the Rfam family "Bacterial small subunit ribosomal RNA", at positions 28 to 508 of the family's 1533-position model. The record is from RNAcentral.
GACGAACGCUGGCGGCGUGCUUAACACAUGCAAGUCGAACGGAAAGGCCCUGCCUUUGUGGGGUGCUCGAGUGGCGAACGGGUGAGUAACACGUGAGUAACCUGCCCUUGACUUUGGGAUAACUUCAGGAAACUGGGGCUAAUACCGGAUAGGUGCUCCUGCUGCAUGGUGGGGGUUGGAAAGUUGCGGCGGCCGGGGAUGGAUUCGCGGCUUAGCAGCUUGUUUGUGGGGUAGUGGCUUACCAAGGCUUUGACGGGUAGCCGGCCUGAGAGGGUGACCGGCCACAUUCGGACUUAGAUACGGCCCAGACUCCUACGGGAGGCAGCAGUGGGGAAUCUUGCACAAUCGGCGGCAGCCUGAUGCCGCAACUCCGCGUGCGGGAUGACGGCCUUCGGGUUGUAGACCGCUUUCGCCUGUGACGAAGCGUGCGUUACGGUAAUGGGUACAGAAGCACCGGCUAAAUACGUGC